AAAUAACUGUAACUAACUAACUAUAAAAAAAUUAUUUUAUAAAAAUAUAAGUUAGUUGCAAGACCACUAGAGUGUUUUAGUGUGUGUUCAAGUGUAUAAAUUUAGAACCGCCAUGUAGAAAAAUGGUUUUGUUUACCUUCAAUAUAAAGAGGUCAUAUUUACAGAUGACAUAAAGUUAGUUUUAUUAGCUGAAAAACAUUAACGAGCGUAAAUACUGUGUGAUUCAUCUAGAAUGAUCUCAAGGUCUUGCAAGUUUUCUAAUAAUUUGUUGAACGAUUAGCGGACAGAUCAAUAUGUUAAACCAUAAAAUGUUUCAAGCAAAACUAGUUUUUGCCCUUGCGAUUUUGUAUCAUUAAGAAGAAAGUUUAAUCUAAAAAAAGUGUUAUAAGAUACCCAUCCUAUAUGUUAUGUUUUUAUUUAUAAAUAAACGCAUUUGGCCAAUGGUAAUUGGAAAACCGAUGUCUGACUUUUAGCUGUUAUCACUUAAACGCCAUUAGCAAUAAUCAGUAACUAUUUUGUUCAGCUUUGGUGAUAUAUUUUCGACAGCAAAAUGAAGAUUUAUUUGGUUGUAGUAAUUAUUUCCUUAUGGGUUGGAGAUUUGGUUCAAAUGCAAGAGGCCUGUGCAGACAUAAAAUGCUCAUCUCCUCAUCAAAUUUGCCGAGGUUCUAACCCAUGCUAUAACAAAUGUAGUAGUCAAUUUUGCCCGGCAUAUUUAGAAUAUGCCUGUUUCUGUGAAUCUGGUUAUUGUAGCGACGAUAACGGAGAUUGUGUUCUUAGGAGUUGAAAGAAAUAAUGAAGUUCUUGUUUAUAUGUAUUGAAAUAAUAAAUAUUUCAGUCUG
Long non-coding RNA from Dendroctonus ponderosae (mountain pine beetle), 839 nucleotides. RefSeq lists it as uncharacterized. NCBI's taxonomy places the organism in Eukaryota, Metazoa, Arthropoda, Insecta, Coleoptera, Curculionidae. The transcript is spliced from 2 exons. The record is from RefSeq and is a predicted model, not a curated record.